GGCCUCUUGAAAUCCAUCAUUUCUGAGAGUCAGAACGAAUCUGCGAUUUUCUACACUAAGCGCUCCAAAGAGACAGUUUUCUCUUAAAGGAAAGUUUUUAAAAGGCUGAUUAGAAGACACCAAAGAGCUUCUGAGAGAAGUGAUGUCGAAAACUUGGACGGCCAACUGCAUAUCACUUUGGGUCACGGCUGAAAUAUAUGUAAGGACUAUACCGGCU
This 217-nucleotide long non-coding RNA is filed under the name Fukomys damarensis (Damara mole-rat). RNAcentral describes it as "lncRNA (ENSFDAG00000021670.1)". The record is from RNAcentral. Lineage: Eukaryota; Metazoa; Chordata; Mammalia; Rodentia; Bathyergidae.